AGGGGUGUAGCGCAGUUGGUAGCGCACUUGGUUUGGGACCAAGGGGUCGCAGGUUCGAAUCCUGUCACCCCUA
RNAcentral lists this transfer RNA (73 nucleotides) under Saprospiraceae bacterium. Its description in RNAcentral is "tRNA-Pro". It matches the Rfam family "tRNA". From Rfam's summary of the family: Transfer RNA (tRNA) molecules are approximately 80 nucleotides in length. Their secondary structure includes four short double-helical elements and three loops (D, anti-codon, and T loops). Further hydrogen bonds mediate the characteristic L-shaped molecular structure. tRNAs have two regions of fundamental functional importance: the anti-codon, which is responsible for specific mRNA codon recognition, and the 3' end, to which the tRNAs corresponding amino acid is attached (by aminoacyl-tRNA synthetases). tRNAs cope with the degeneracy of the genetic code in two manners: having more than one tRNA (with a specific anti-codon) for a particular amino acid; and 'wobble' base-pairing, i.e. permitting non-standard base-pairing at the 3rd anti-codon position. The record is from RNAcentral. Lineage: Bacteria; Pseudomonadati; Bacteroidota; Saprospiria; Saprospirales; Saprospiraceae.